This 2683-nucleotide long non-coding RNA is filed under the name Equus asinus (donkey). Its description in RNAcentral is "lncRNA (ENSEASG00005036158.1)". The record is from RNAcentral. Lineage: Eukaryota; Metazoa; Chordata; Mammalia; Perissodactyla; Equidae.
UUCAGCCUGGGGUUGGUGCCGCUGAGGGGAGGGCGAACGGCCUCGCGUACGUCAGCCCGGGAUCCAGAGCGAGCCUCGAGCCUAGUGGCUGCGAGCAGUAACCUCCCAACAUUUGAAUCCCACGUUUUUCCUUCGACUUCCUGUCACCGUUAGAAAAAAGCGGACAGCGUCUCCAGCUCAGAGUUGGAGAAAUACCCCUGGGACCCUAAGUUUGCUCCGGGAAGGCGUUUCCCUCAACCGAGCAAGCUCCGAAAUGGCCUUUGCCGGCUCAGCUGGCGGGGAUUAACCGAGCCGGGCUCACGAAAGGCGGUCGUCGUGAGGGCCCCCCUCUACCCUUAGCGUGCCCCGCUGUUUGUUUUUAAACGCCGGUGGCGGGAACUGGUGAGCCCGCGGGAACUCCUGCAGCUCGGCCGGCGGUCGGAGGUCGGGAGCGAGCUGGACGGGAUGCUGCUGCUUGCGGGCAGGAGGUUGCAAGAAAGAGUUUCAGCCUCUCAGCUCUACUGAGCCUGCCGGGGGCCGAACGCAGCGCUCCACAAACGGGAGGAGAUGGAAGACACGGCCUCAGCCCCCGGAGCGCACACCCGGGGGGCGAGACCCAGCCCAGGACAGACACUCUCAGUGUCUCCCGCUACAGGCCGAGCUGCCUGGCGUGUGGAGGAAGCCCCCACCAGGGAGUGACAGCUGAGCUGGAUCUUGAAGGAUGAGUAAGAGUUCCCCAGUUUUGAGAUGAGUGGGAGGGGUGUCGCAAGCAGAGGAAGCGAAGAGGAAGAGGAGCUGGUCUGAGUAAUUCGAGUGAAAAUAGAUUUCGCACCAAGAACUCUGUUGAAAAACUUUUCAUCAUUGCUUAGUUCCGAAGAGAAAAAACUUCCAGGCUCCCACGUGUGAUAACCGAAGUGUUUUCCAAACCAGUGUUUAUCCUGAGGAGGUGAGCAGUUGCACGGUACAGUGUAGUGAACAUGCUCUUCCUCGUCUAAGGACACUUAGAGAUCAGAGACCUGAGGGACACAGAAGUUAUUGUCAUAGUACACCAAGUUAUUAUUGCCGACAUUCUGCUAAACUGGAAAGUGCUAGUAAUAUUUGAAGAUUUCUACGUAAGAAGAGCCAUCUAACAGGAAUUUUGUAAUACAGGUGACCUCAUGGAGAAACUUCCCCAAAAAUCCUCAGGCAACAAAACAACAACCACCUCACCAGUCUUGACUUAUUAUCGAAAUGUUCUUGUAGAAGCUAAACUCAAGAAAGGAACUGAUAAACACAUCAAUAGAAUAGAAGAAACAGAGCUCAAAAAUAUACCUAUGUUCAGGACAUCAGCAAGAUGGUGGAAUAGGAAGUCCCAGCCCUCGUCCCCUCACAGAAACACUGAUUUAACAAUGAUAUACAGAAAGCAAAAUACCUUUAUGAGAAGUCUGGAAUCCAUAUGAGAAGUUGUAGUGCCCUGGAGGACCACAAAACCAAGAACAGCCACAUUGAAAUGGUGGCCAUGGCAGAAAAAUUCAGAAAGGACUCCAUAUGUCCCAUCUGCCAGACUAUUUCCAAGGUCCCUGUUGGACAUUCUGCAAACAUGACUAUUGCUUCACCAGCUUCAGGCAUUUGGGAGAAUCAGGAUAGCCUUUUCACUUCUCCCCAGUGUCUUUACAUCUCUUGGAUCCAGAGAAUCCAGACCAACAUGACCCUGGGGAAACUGGUGGGUGAGAUCAAAGUAAGGAUGCCUAUGAUGAGCAUGUGCUGCUGGAUGCUCAGAUUCUAUGUCAAUAUGACUCUGGAUCCAGCCACAGCCAAGGACCUCCUCACAUUCUCUUAAUGACCUGCAGUGCAUCAGAUAUGAGUAGGUCCAGACGAGACCACCAGAGAACGCCAAAACAGUCUUCUCCGCUGCUUGUGUCCUGGGGUCCUCCUGUUCACCUCUGGCUCCCGCUAUUGGGAGGUGGAAGUUAGAGGAACAUUGGAACAGGCUGUGGAUGUUUGCAGGGAAGCUGCAUAUCACAAAGGACCUUUCUUAGUAUCUUCAGAUCUGGGGUUCUGAGUUGCGAACCUCAAGGGAUGACAUGAAGCCACUGCCAACACAGAAACUGGGACUAUCCUCUACAUGAACCCAAACUUGCAGAUAAGAUUUUCAACGCCAUUGAUGGUUUCCAUUUAUACACCUUCACAAAUAUAUCUUCCUCGGAGCCUCUGUGUCCACUUUUCUGUCCUGGGAUCCCAAGAGAGGGUGAGAAUGUGAAACCCAUGGAAAUCUGUGCCAAGGAAACUAUAGUUGUUGAAUUUGAUCAUAGUCCUUGUAAGGAGACAUGUGAACUCUGUCCAAAAUGAAGAGCAUAUGGGGUGAAACUGAUGGAUCGUAUACUCCUGAACUCUAUCUGACACUACCAGGAGUUUAGGUGGUUGAGAAAACCAUCCAGUUUGUUUUACUGAAAAGGAAGCCUUAGGAUAAGAAUUGCAAAAAUAAAUCAUUAAUUUUUAAAACCUUUCUUUUUUUAAAAAAUUUUAAUCAUGUGUUUUUUAAAUGCAAUAUAUCCAAAAAAAUAUGGGAGGCUUCCCAAAUUUGCAUGUCAUCCUUGCGCAGGGACCAUGCUAAUCUUGUCUGUAUCAUUCCAAUUUUAGUAUAUGUGCUGCCGAAGCAAGCAUUAAAACCUUUUUUAAUUCUAAAUACAGUAGUCCCCCCUUAUCCGUGGGGGAUACCCAAGAC